RNAcentral lists this ribosomal RNA (429 nucleotides) under Acidobacteriota bacterium. RNAcentral describes it as "Acidobacteria bacterium partial 16S ribosomal RNA". It matches the Rfam family "Bacterial small subunit ribosomal RNA", at positions 355 to 776 of the family's 1533-position model. Lineage: Bacteria; Pseudomonadati; Acidobacteriota. The record is from RNAcentral.
UGGGGAAUUUUGGACAAUGGGGGAAACCCUGAUCCAGCCAUCCCGCGUGUGCGAUGAAGGCCUUCGGGUUGUAAAGCACUUUUGGCAGGAAAGAAACGUCAUGGGUUAAUACCCCGUGAAACUGACGGUACCUGCAGAAUAAGCACCGGCUAACUACGUGCCAGCAGCCGCGGUAAUACGUAGGGUGCAAUCGUUACUCGGAUUUACUGGGCGUAAAGCGUGCGCAGGAGGUUCGGAAAGAAAAAUGUGAAAUCCAAGAGCUCAACUUUGGAACUGCAUUAUUAACUACCGGGCUAGAGUGUGUCAGAGGGAGGUGGAAUUCCGAGUGUAGCAGUGAAAUGCGUAGAUAUGCGGAGGAACACCGAUGGCGAAGGCAGCCACCUGGGAUAACACUGACGCUCAUGCACGAAAGCGUGGGGAGCAAACAGG